Molecule: ribosomal RNA, 400 nt
Filed under: uncultured bacterium
Lineage: Bacteria
Description: bacterial SSU rRNA
Rfam family: Bacterial small subunit ribosomal RNA
Source: RNAcentral
CGGGAAUAUUGGACAAUGGGCGCAAGCCUGAUCCAGCAAUACCGCGUGUGUGAAGAAGGCCUGCGGGUUGUAAAGCACUUUCAGUUGGGAAGAUAAUGACGUUACCAACAGAAGAAGCACCGGCUAACUCCGUGCCAGCAGCCGCGGUAAUACGGAGGGUGCAAGCGUUAAUCGGAAUUACUGGGCGUAAAGCGUGCGUAGGCGGUUUUUUAAGUCAGAUGUGAAAUCCCCGGGCUCAACCUGGGAACUGCAUCUGAUACUGGGAGACUAGAGUGUGGGAGAGGAGAGUGGAAUUUCCGGUGUAGCGGUGAAAUGCAUAGAGAUCGGAAGGAACAUCAGUGGCGAAGGCGACUCUCUGGACCAACACUGACGCUGAGGCACGAAAGCGUGGGUAGCAAAC